GAUGAACGCUGGCGGCGUGCUUAACACAUGCAAGUCGAACGGGAAACCUUUUAUUGAAGCUUCGGCAGAUUUAGCUGGUUUCUAGUGGCGGACGGGUGAGUAACGCGUGGGUAACCUGCCUUAUACAGGGGGAUAACAACCAGAAAUGGUUGCUAAUACCGCAUAAGCGCACAGGACCGCAUGGUCCGGUGUGAAAAACUCCGGUGGUAUAAGAUGGACCCGCGUUGGAUUAGCUAGUUGGCAGGGUAACGGCCUACCAAGGCGACGAUCCAUAGCCGGCCUGAGAGGGUGAACGGCCACAUUGGGACUGAGACACGGCCCAGACUCCUACGGGAGGCAGCAGUGGGGAAUAGUGCACAAUGGGGGAAACCCUGAUGCAGCGACGCCGCGUGAAGGAAGAAGUAUCUCGGUAUGUAAACUUCUAUCAGCAGGGAAGAUAGUGACGGUACCUGACUAAGAAGCCCCGGCUAACUACGUG
This 478-nucleotide ribosomal RNA is filed under the name uncultured bacterium. Its description in RNAcentral is "partial 16S ribosomal RNA". It matches the Rfam family "Bacterial small subunit ribosomal RNA", at positions 28 to 507 of the family's 1533-position model. The record is from RNAcentral.